AUGCAUUUUAACACCAAAAGGGGUUGUUCAUCAUUUAUGUUUCAAAAACACUGGAAUGAGUUUCAAAGACUCUUUAAAAGAAAAAUUAGGGAAAACUAAACAUAUAAUCUACCAAAAAGUUUCUUCAAUAGAUCAUAAGAGAUCAUUGUAACUGUUCUCUUAUUAGUAUUUCCGUCCAAAACCACCUCCACCGCGGCCAUAUGAUGGGAGAGCUGCCACUGCUUGUGGCUCAGCGGCCUGCUUGACAACGCCUGGAAGGUCAGACAUGCCGAGGGCUGAAAGCAUGUCAAGGGUCUCCUUGUCAACUUCAAUGAGAUCAGUCUUGAUGGCAGAUUCAUCAGGAACAAAGUCCAUGCGUCUCUCACGUUCCUCCUCUUGCAGUUUCAGGGAGAUACCACGGACUGGUCCCUUCUGGAUACGCUUCAUGAGGUGAGUGGAGAAUCCAGCAAUCUUGUUGCGGAGACGCUUGGAGGGAAUGAUAGCGACCUCUUCAAGAAUUUUCUUGUUAGUGUGGAAGUCGAGGGUCAUGCGA
Molecule: unclassified non-coding RNA, 532 nt
Filed under: Hevea brasiliensis (rubber tree)
Lineage: Eukaryota; Viridiplantae; Streptophyta; Magnoliopsida; Malpighiales; Euphorbiaceae
Source: RNAcentral